RNAcentral lists this ribosomal RNA (301 nucleotides) under uncultured bacterium. RNAcentral's name for it is "partial 16S ribosomal RNA". It matches the Rfam family "Bacterial small subunit ribosomal RNA", at positions 509 to 807 of the family's 1533-position model. The record is from RNAcentral.
CAGCCGCCGCGGGAAUACAGAGGGUGCGAGCGUUAAUCGGAUUUACUGGGCGUAAAGCGUGCGUAGGCGGCUUUUUAAGUCGGAUGUGAAAUCCCUGAGCUUAACUUAGGAAUUGCAUUCGAUACUGGGAAGCUAGAGUAUGGGAGAGGAUGGUAGAAUUCCAGGUGUAGCGGUGAAAUGCGUAGAGAUCUGGAGGAAUACCGAUGGCGAAGGCAGCCAUCUGGCCUAAUACUGACGCUGACGUACGAAAGCAUGGGGAGCAAACAGGAUUAGAUACCCCGGUAGUCCCUGUCUCUUAUAC